Long non-coding RNA from Candoia aspera, 209 nucleotides. RefSeq lists it as uncharacterized. The transcript has 3 exons. The record is from RefSeq and is a predicted model, not a curated record. NCBI's taxonomy places the organism in Eukaryota, Metazoa, Chordata, Lepidosauria, Squamata, Candoiidae.
CUUAUUUCUAUGCUUGGUGUUGCUGCUGCUGCUGCUCUCACAAAGUCACUUCCGACUCUUCGUGACUUCAUGGACCAGCCCGCGCCAGAGCCUAUACUGAGAGAUCUUUGUCGGGCCUGACUUGAAGGUGAUGGAGCCCAGACCUUCUCCAUCUGUCUGCAUCUGGUGCCAGUUCGUCCAGAAGAUUUUGGACUACUGCCCUUAGUCAC